Long non-coding RNA from Brassica oleracea var. oleracea, 452 nucleotides. RefSeq lists it as uncharacterized. Lineage: Eukaryota; Viridiplantae; Streptophyta; Magnoliopsida; Brassicales; Brassicaceae. The record is from RefSeq and is a predicted model, not a curated record. The transcript has 4 exons.
GUUAAAACCAGACACGUAUCUCGUCUCGUCUCUACGCUCGUGUUCGAGAUCAUCGCAUACAACCCUAAUUCCUGAGAAACCUAAGCUUUGUCUGGUCAGAUUCGAGUGGAUAUAAUGGAUCAACAGCCAGAACCAGUUACUUACGUCUGCGGAGAUUGUGGACAAGAGAAUACUUUGAAGUCUGGGGAUGUGAUCCAGUGCAGAGAGUGUGGAUACCGUAUCCUAUACAAGAAGCGUACCCGUAGAGUUGUUCAGUACGAAGCUCGCUGAGAACCACAACUCCGCCUGAAAGAUGAUUUGAAGUCUGUUAACAUGUCAUAAAGACUUCAACUGCCUUUGUUUGUAAUAUAAUCCAGUUCGACUUGAAAUUAUGUUUAUGUAACCCAUUAUGGAAUGUCUCUCUUGAAGCAGAAAGGGCCGUUUCAGUGUUAUAUAUCACUCUUGUCAGUGCU